CGGGAGAAUCCAUGGGAGGGCACACGCACGGGUCGUAUGGGGGCAGUUGGGUUGUUGCCGCGACGGGAGCCGCGAGGGGGUGGUAGGGGGUUGGGGAGGCCACCAUGGAUCUGUAAAGCCCUGGUCGGUCCAGCGGCGGAGACGGAGGGCUAGGAGGUGUUUGGGCGAAUUCCACCCAUGCAGUGUCGGGGGUUAACGCACUCACACGCUCCGGCGUGGGUGCGGACGACCCCCCAACUUGUAAACGCAAAGGAAGUGGACGGGGACCCCGCACCCAGCGCUGGAGCAUGUGUUUGAAUUCGAAGCGACGCCCAGCACCUGACGAUUUAGUGACAUAUCUCGCAUAUCCUAGAGAUAGGUGUAUCCCUUCGGGGCAAGGAGCCAGGUGGGACAUGGUUGUCGUCAGCUCCCCUCAAGAGAUGUUGGGUUAUGUCCCGUAACGAGCGCAACCCUUAUCAUUAGUUCCCAGCAUUCAGUGGGGGAGUGUUAUGAGACUGCCGCCGCCACACCGGAGGAAGGUGGGGAUGACUUCUCAUCAUCAAGCCCCUUAUGAACUGGGCUACACACGUGCUACAAUGGAUGGUACAACGAGCGGCGACCCCACGAGAGCUAGCGAAUGUCUCCAAGCCAUUCUCACUUUGGAUAGUUGUGUUCAACUGGGCGCGCCAGUAGCAGGACUCUGGUAUUAAUUGUGGAUCAGCACGCACACGCGGGACACAUUGCCCGUGUCCUGUACACACCCCCCCCUCAAGGGGGGAUUUUUUUAUACACCCACGAGGAGUCCCCCUAGUGGGGGGGUUUUGAGGUCGUGUCUGCC
RNAcentral lists this ribosomal RNA (817 nucleotides) under uncultured bacterium. Its description in RNAcentral is "partial 16S ribosomal RNA". The stretch from base 222 to 737 matches the Rfam family "Bacterial small subunit ribosomal RNA", at positions 875 to 1387 of the family's 1533-position model. The record is from RNAcentral.